UCACCUGGUUCUUCUCAACGGAGGCUUCCCAACCUGCUCAAAACCCGCGGCAACAUGGAGCAAUGGCUACUUAACAAGCACAGAAAGGCUCUCAUUGCCUUAAGAACAAGGUGCAUGGGAGGUCAUCACCUAUCAGCCCCGACGCCGACGAAGGCAUACCACACUUGAAUGAUCUAUUUGAUUAUAAACCCGAGAAGCU
This 199-nucleotide long non-coding RNA is filed under the name Elaeis guineensis (African oil palm). RNAcentral describes it as "long non-coding RNA (EGUI_LNC008778)". Lineage: Eukaryota; Viridiplantae; Streptophyta; Magnoliopsida; Arecales; Arecaceae. The record is from RNAcentral.